RNAcentral lists this ribosomal RNA (466 nucleotides) under uncultured bacterium. RNAcentral's name for it is "partial 16S ribosomal RNA". It matches the Rfam family "Bacterial small subunit ribosomal RNA", at positions 28 to 507 of the family's 1533-position model. The record is from RNAcentral.
GACGAACGCUGGCGGCGUGCUUAACACAUGCAAGUCGAACGGAAAGGCCUCUUUCGGGGGGUACUCGAGUGGCGAACGGGUGAGUAACACGUGAGUAACCUGCCCUUGACUUUGGGAUAACUCAGGAAACUGGGGCUAAUACCGGAUAGGAGCUCCUGCUGCAUGGUGGGGGUUGGAAAGUUUCGGCGGUUGGGGAUGGACUCGCGGCUUAUCAGCUUGUUGGUGGGGUAGUGGCUUACCAAGGCUUUGACGGGUAGCCGGCCUGAGAGGGUGACCGGCCACAUUGGGACUGAGAUACGGCCCAGACUCCUACGGGAGGCAGCAGUGGGGAAUAUUGCACAAGGGGUGGAAGCCUGAUGCAGCAACGCCGUGUGCGGGAUGACGGCCUUCGGGUUGUAAACCGCUUUCGCUCAUGACGAAGCUUUGUGUGACGGUAGUGGGUAAAGAAGCACCGGCUAACUACGUG